AAAUUGUAGAAGUAGAAAAGUC
This 22-nucleotide small RNA is filed under the name Arabidopsis thaliana (thale cress). RNAcentral's name for it is "ATSL007360". Lineage: Eukaryota; Viridiplantae; Streptophyta; Magnoliopsida; Brassicales; Brassicaceae. The record is from RNAcentral.